Molecule: ribosomal RNA, 467 nt
Filed under: uncultured bacterium
Lineage: Bacteria
Description: partial 16S ribosomal RNA
Rfam family: Bacterial small subunit ribosomal RNA
Source: RNAcentral
GACGAACGCUGGCGGCGUGCUUAACACAUGCGAGUCGAACGGAAAGGCCCUGCUUUUGUGGGGUGCUCGAGUGGCGAACGGGUGAGUAACACGUGAGUAACCUGCCCUUGACUUUGGGAUAACUUCAGGAAACUGGGGCUAAUACCGGAUAGGAGCUCCUGCUGCAUGGGGGGGGUUGGAAAGUCUCGGCGUUUGGGGAUGGACUCGCGGCUUAUCAGCUUGUUGGUAGGGUAGUGGCUUACCAAGGCUUUGACGGGUAGCCGGCCUGAGAGGGUGACCGGCCACAUUGGGCCUGAGAUACGGCCCAGACUCCUACGGGAGGCAGCAGUGGGGAAUAUUGCACAAUGGGCGGAAGCCUGAUGGAGCAACGCCGCGUGCGGGAUGACGGCCUUCGGGUUGUAAACCGCUUUCGCCUGUGACGAAGCGUGAGUGACGGUAAUGGGUAAAGAAGCACCGGCUAACUACGU